RNAcentral lists this long non-coding RNA (254 nucleotides) under Phoenix dactylifera (date palm). Its description in RNAcentral is "long non-coding RNA (PDAC_LNC005439)". Lineage: Eukaryota; Viridiplantae; Streptophyta; Magnoliopsida; Arecales; Arecaceae. The record is from RNAcentral.
GGAGAGGCCAAGAGACCUCUACUUUUCAGACUGUUUCCCACGUCUUUUCAGCCUCUGGUGCCCUGGUGCGAUGGGAAGUAGGCAAGUAGCCUAUGGUCUAAUGGAAGUAGCCUCUUGCAGUGCGGAAAGUAGCCGUAGCACUGUAGCAAGAAAAUUUAAAAUUUUACUGUAGCUCGUAUUUCUCUGCGGUGGGCCUUGCUUCGGCCCGAGGCCUUAGGCGACCGCCUAUCUCGCCUAAGGGUCGGGCCGGCCCU